AUAGCGAAGAGGUCACACCCGUUCCCAUUCCGAACACGGCAGUUAAGCUCUUCAGCGCCGAUGGUAGUUGGGGGUUUCCCCCUGUGAGAGUAGGACGCCGCCA
RNAcentral lists this ribosomal RNA (103 nucleotides) under Peribacillus simplex. Lineage: Bacteria; Bacillati; Bacillota; Bacilli; Caryophanales; Bacillaceae. The record is from RNAcentral.